CGUAUAUUAAAGUUGUUGCAGUUAAAAAGCUCGUAGUUGGAUGUCUGCUGGAAGCAAUCAGUCCGCCCUAUUUGUAGGGUGUGCACUUGAUGAAUUCUGGCAUUUUUGUCCCAAUGAUGUAACGGGGCGGUGGUAUUCAGUGAAAGCUGAGUAUCCUGUUCCGAUUAUUGGGAUACUGUUACUUUGAGAAAAUUAGAGUGUUUGAAGCAGGCUAAUUGCCUUGAAUACUGCAUCAUGGAAUAACAAUAUAGGAUUUCGGUUCUAUUUUGUUGGUUUCUAUGACUGAAAUAAUGAUUAAUAGGGACAGUUGGGGGCAUUCGUAUUUAACUGUCAGAGGUGAAAUUCUU
RNAcentral lists this ribosomal RNA (347 nucleotides) under Sarcocystis capracanis. RNAcentral describes it as "SSU rRNA". It matches the Rfam family "Eukaryotic small subunit ribosomal RNA", at positions 598 to 921 of the family's 1831-position model. Lineage: Eukaryota; Apicomplexa; Conoidasida; Eucoccidiorida; Sarcocystidae. The record is from RNAcentral.